RNAcentral lists this ribosomal RNA (1175 nucleotides) under Acinetobacter baumannii. RNAcentral's name for it is "bacterial SSU rRNA". It matches the Rfam family "Bacterial small subunit ribosomal RNA", at positions 35 to 1179 of the family's 1533-position model. Lineage: Bacteria; Pseudomonadati; Pseudomonadota; Gammaproteobacteria; Moraxellales; Moraxellaceae. The record is from RNAcentral.
GUUUGGGGGCGCGGCUUACCAUGCAGUCGAGCGGGGGAGGUAGCUUGUGUACCGGACCUAGCGGCGGACGGGUGAGUAAUGCUUAGGAAUCUGCCUAUUAGUGGGGGACAACAUCUCGAAAGGGAUGCUAAUACCGCAUACGUCCUACGGGAGAAAGCAGGGGAUCUUCGGACCUUGCGCUAAUAGAUGAGCCUAAGUCGGAUUAGCUAGUUGGUGGGGUAAAGGCCUACCGAGGCGACGAUCUGUAGCGGGUCUGAGAGGAUGAUCCGCCACACUGGGACUGAGACACGGCCCAGACUCCUACGGGAGGCAGCAGUGGGGAAUAUUGGACAAUGGGGGGAACCCUGAUCCAGCCAUGCCGCGUGUGUGAAGAAGGCCUUAUGGUUGUAAAGCACUUUAAGCGAGGAGGAGGCUACUUUAGUUAAUACCUAGAGAUAGUGGACGUUACUCGCAGAAUAAGCACCGGCUAACUCUGUGCCAGCAGCCGCGGUAAUACAGAGGGUGCGAGCGUUAAUCGGAUUUACUGGGCGUAAAGCGUGCGUAGGCGGCUUAUUAAGUCGGAUGUGAAAUCCCCGAGCUUAACUUGGGAAUUGCAUUCGAUACUGGUGAGCUAGAGUAUGGGAGAGGAUGGUAGAAUUCCAGGUGUAGCGGUGAAAUGCGUAGAGAUCUGGAGGAAUACCGAUGGCGAAGGCAGCCAUCUGGCCUAAUACUGACGCUGAGGUACGAAAGCAUGGGGAGCAAACAGGAUUAGAUACCCUGGUAGUCCAUGCCGUAAACGAUGUCUACUAGCCGUUGGGGCCUUUGAGGCUUUAGUGGCGCAGCUAACGCGAUAAGUAGACCGCCUGGGGAGUACGGUCGCAAGACUAAAACUCAAAUGAAUUGACGGGGGCCCGCACAAGCGGUGGAGCAUGUGGUUUAAUUCGAUGCAACGCUCAGAACCUUACCUGGACUUGACAUACUAGAAACUUUCCAGAGAUGGAUUGGUGCCUUCGGGUAAUCUAGAUACAGUGCUGCAUGGCCUGUCGUCAGCUCGUGUCGUGAGAUGUUGGGUGAGGUCCCUGCACUAGCGCCACCCCAUUUUGCGUACUGCAGCCAUUACCUGAUCGUCACUUGAAUGAUACCUGCAGUUACAAAGCCUGAAGACGGACCGGGAACGAACGGUUCGGAGGUCAGUA